GAAAGAACAGGUACCUUCACAACCUGGAAAUUUUGAAAAACUGAAUGAACUAAAAGUCCUGCUUUUCCCACCAAAGGUCUGUUGAAGAGGCUCAGCUGGGGAAUGAAAGAUAAGGACAAAGAACAUUUGGACUCAGCGAAAGCUUAUUGAGGCUGUGCUGCACUUUUUUGAAGAGAGUUAUUGGCAUGAUUUUCUGAGAACAAGAGGAAAAUGGAAAACAUUUUAGCAAGUUAAGGGAAAAAAAAUCAACAGUAUCAUUGUUUGCCGCUUUUGUUGAAACUACCUACACAAGUCAUUUGAGGGACAUGAAGAUGGAUAAAGUAUUAGACAUGACAGAAGGUGCAGUUGUGAGGGAAAUCAUAAAUCUUGGGUCUUUUCUGAGAUCUAUUUCUCUGGAGUGA
RNAcentral lists this long non-coding RNA (401 nucleotides) under Oryctolagus cuniculus (rabbit). RNAcentral describes it as "lncRNA (ENSOCUG00000030775.1)". Lineage: Eukaryota; Metazoa; Chordata; Mammalia; Lagomorpha; Leporidae. The record is from RNAcentral.